GUGACUCUUUUAAACGGCCGCGGUAUCCUAACCGUGCAAAGGUAGCAUAAUCACUUGUCCCCUAAAUAGGGACUGGAAUGAAUGGCUAAAUGAGGACAAAACUGUCUCUCACGGAUUAACCAAUGAAAUUGAUUUUCCAGUACAAAAGCUGGAAUGAACACAUAAGACGAGAAGACCCUGUGGAGCUUCAAAACCAAAAUCACUAAACAUGCUUCUUGGUUUUUUAGUUGGGGCGACUUUGGAGCAAAAAAAACCCUCCAAAACACUAAAACUUUAUUAAGACUAACACAUCAAAAAUAACUUUAUAGACCCAGCAGUACCCAGUACUAUCUGAUUAAUGAACCAAGUUACCCCAGGGAUAACAGCGCCAUCCUCUUCUAGAGUCCUUAUCGACAAGAGGGUUUACGACCUCGAUGUUGGAUCAGGACACCCCUAUAGUGCAGUCGCUAUAAAAGGUUCGUUUGUUCAACGAUUAAAGUCCUACGUGAUCU
This 491-nucleotide ribosomal RNA is filed under the name Podarcis tiliguerta. Its description in RNAcentral is "partial 16S ribosomal RNA". It matches the Rfam family "Bacterial large subunit ribosomal RNA", at positions 1914 to 2606 of the family's 2925-position model. The record is from RNAcentral. Lineage: Eukaryota; Metazoa; Chordata; Lepidosauria; Squamata; Lacertidae.